Molecule: ribosomal RNA, 492 nt
Filed under: uncultured bacterium
Lineage: Bacteria
Description: partial 16S ribosomal RNA
Rfam family: Bacterial small subunit ribosomal RNA
Source: RNAcentral
GACGAACGCUGGCGGCGUGCUUAACACAUGCCAGUCGAACGGAAAGGCCCCCACUUUUUUGGUGGGGGUGCUCGAGUGGCGAACGGGUGAGUAACACGUGGGUGAUCUGCCCUGUACUUCGGGAUAAGCUUGGGAAACUGGGUCUAAUACCGGAUAGGACCAUGGUUUAGUGUCUCAUGGUGGAAAAAUUAUUGUUUUGGUGCAGGAUGAGCUCGCGGCCUAUCAGCUUGUUGGUGGGGUAAUGACCUACCAAGGCGUCGACGGGUAGCCGGCCUGAGAGGGUGGACGGCCACAUUGGGACUGAGAUACGGCCCAGACUCCUACGGGAGGCAGCAGUGGGGAAUAUUGCACAAUGGGCGCAAGCCUGAUGCAGCGACGCCGCGUGGGGGAUGACGGCCUUCGGGUUGUAAACUCCUUUCGUUAGGGACGAAGCCGCACCUUUUUUGGGUGUGGUGACGGUACCUUUGUUAAGAAGCACCGGCUAACUACGUG